RNAcentral lists this ribosomal RNA (1426 nucleotides) under uncultured bacterium. Its description in RNAcentral is "bacterial SSU rRNA". It matches the Rfam family "Bacterial small subunit ribosomal RNA". The record is from RNAcentral.
AGAGUUUGAUCCUGGCUCAGAGUGAACGCUGGCGGCGUGCUUAACACAUGCAAGUCGAGCGAAUUCUAUGGUGCUUGCACUAUAGAGUUAGCGGCAGACGGGUGAGUAAUACAUGGGAAUCUACCUUAUAGUGUGGGAUAACAAAUGGAAACAAUUGCUAAUACCACAUAACAGCCGAGAGGCAAAAGAUUUAUCGCUAUAAGAUGAGCCCUUGCGGGAUUAGUUAGUUGGUGGGGUAAUGGCCUACCAAGACUUCGAUCUCUAGUUGGUCUGAGAGGAUGAUCAGCCACACUGGAACUGAGACACGGUCCAGACUCCUACGGGAGGCAGCAGUGGGGAAUUUUAGACAAUGGGCGAAAGCCUGAUCUAGCAACGCCGCGUGAGUGAUGAAGGCCUUACGGUUGUAAAGCUCUUUUAGUGGAGAACAACGCUCCACAGAAUAAGCCCCGGCUAACUUCGUGCCAGCAGCCGCGGUAAUACGAAGGGGGCUAGCGUUACUCGGAAUUAUUGGGCGUAAAGCGUGCGCAGGCGGAUAUACAAGUCGGAGGUGAAAUCCUUAAGCUCAACUUAAGAAGUGCUUUCGAAACUGUAUAUCUAGAAUAUUAUAGGGGAUGAUGGAAUUCCUAGUGUAGGGGUGAAAUCCGUAGAUAUUAGGAGGAACACCGAUGGCGAAGGCGAUCAUCUGGGUAAUUAUUGACGCUGUUGCACGAAAGCGUGGGGAGCAAACAGGAUUAGAUACCCUGGUAGUCCACGCAGUAAACGAUGAGUGCUAGGUGCUGGAUUUUUUUCGGUGCCGAAGCUAACGCGUUAAGCACUCCGCCUGGGGAGUACGGUCGCAAGACUAAAACUUAAAGGAAUUGACGGGGACCCGCACAAGCGGUGGAACAUGUGGUUUAAUUCGAUGCUACGCGAAAAACCUUACCAAGUCUUGACAUGCUAAUCAUACGCCUAAGAAACUAGGCGGUCAUUUAGUUGGAUUAGCACAGGUGCUGCAUGGUUGUCGUCAGCUCGUGUCGUGAGAUGUUGGGUUAAGUCCCGCAACGAGCGCAACCCUUGCCCUUAGUUACCAGCAUUGAGAUGGGGACUUUAAGGGGACUGCUAGCGAUAAGCUAGAGGAAGGUGGGGAUGAUGUCAAAUCAGCAUGGCCCUUAUGGCUUGGGCUACACACGUGUUACAAUGGUGAUCACAAUGGGACAAUCCCUAAAAAUCACCUCAGUUCGGAUUGUCUCCUGCAACUCGGAGACAUGAAGUCGGAAUCGCUAGUAAUCGCAGAUCAGCACGCUGCGGUGAAUACGUUCCCGGGUCUUGUACACACUGCCCGUCACGCCAUGGAAGUCGAUCUUGCUUUAAGUACGUAAGCUAACCGUAAGGAGGCAGCGUACCACAGCGAGGUUGGUAACUGAGGUAAAGUCGUAACAAGGUAACC